CGGGCGUGGUGGUGGGGG
This 18-nucleotide microRNA is filed under the name Homo sapiens (human). RNAcentral describes it as "hsa-miR-1268a". The record is from miRBase by way of RNAcentral. Lineage: Eukaryota; Metazoa; Chordata; Mammalia; Primates; Hominidae.